Molecule: unclassified non-coding RNA, 376 nt
Filed under: soil metagenome
Description: partial contains 5.8S ribosomal RNA, internal transcribed spacer 2, and large subunit ribosomal RNA
Rfam family: 5.8S ribosomal RNA (bases 1-120)
Source: RNAcentral
GAUGAAGAACGUAGCUAAAUGCGAUAAGUAAUGUGAAUUCCAGAAUUCAGUGAAUCAUCGAAUCUUUGAACGCAUCUUGCGCUCCUUGGUAUUCUGAGGAGCAUGCCUGUUUGAGUGUCAUUAAAUUCUCAACUACACUGACUUUGAAUUGGUGUGGCUUGGAUUUGGGGGGAAAAUUGUUGUGGGCUUUUUGUAUAGUCUGCUCCCCUGAAAUUGAUUAGCGGUACCUUUGUGGAACUGUCUACAGGUGUGAUAAUUAUCUACAUCUUAGACAUCUGCUGGAAUGCUGCUUUCUAAACCUUACUUGUAUUGACAAUCUUGACCUCAAAUCAGGUAGGACUACCCGCUGAACUUAAGCAUAUCAAUAAGCGGAGGA